AGUGAACGCUGGCGGUGGCCUAACACAUGCAAGUCGAACGGCAGCACAGUAAGAGCUUGCUCUUACGGGUGGCGAGUGGCGGACGGGUGAGGAAUACAUCGGAAUCUACUUUUUCGUGGGGGAUAACGUAGGGAAACUUACGCUAAUACCGCAUACGACCUACGGGUGAAAGCAGGGGAUCUUCGGACCUUGCGCGAUUGAAUGAGCCGAUGUCGGAUUAGCUAGUUGGCGGGGUAAAGGCCCACCAAGGCGACGAUCCGUAGCUGGUCUGAGAGGACGAUCAGCCACACUGGAACUGAGACACGGUCCAGACUCCUACGGGAGGCAGCAGUGGGGAAUAUUGGACAAUGGGCGCAAGCCUGAUCCAGCCAUACCGCGUGGGUGAAGAAGGCCUUCGGGUUGUAAAGCCCUUUUGUUGGGAAAGAAAAGCAGCAGGUUAAUACCCCGCUGUUCUGACGGUACCCAAAGAAUAAGCACCGGCUAACUUCGUG
RNAcentral lists this ribosomal RNA (491 nucleotides) under uncultured bacterium. RNAcentral's name for it is "partial 16S ribosomal RNA". It matches the Rfam family "Bacterial small subunit ribosomal RNA", at positions 29 to 507 of the family's 1533-position model. The record is from RNAcentral.